UACGUAGGUGGCGAGCGUUGUCCGGAUUUAUUGGGUUUAAAGGGUGCGUAGGCGGCCUUGUAAGUCAGUAGUGAAAUAUCCCGGCUUAACCGGGAGGGUGCUAUUGAUACUGUGAGGCUAGAGUACAGACGAGGUAGGCGGAAUUGACGGUGUAGCGGUGAAAUGCAUAGAUAUCGUCAAGAACACCGAUAGCGAAGGCAGCUUACCAGGCUGUAACUGACGCUGAGGCACGAAAGUGUGGGGAUCAAACAGG
Molecule: ribosomal RNA, 253 nt
Filed under: uncultured bacterium
Lineage: Bacteria
Description: partial 16S ribosomal RNA
Rfam family: Bacterial small subunit ribosomal RNA
Source: RNAcentral